Long non-coding RNA from Triticum urartu, 867 nucleotides. RefSeq lists it as uncharacterized. The record is from RefSeq and is a predicted model, not a curated record. NCBI's taxonomy places the organism in Eukaryota, Viridiplantae, Streptophyta, Magnoliopsida, Poales, Poaceae.
GCACAGUGACCCCGGGGCAUAUGACGCAUAUGUCCCUGGCAGGCAGCGUGACUCGACUCUCUGCCCGGUCGAAACGUAUGCCUCUACCAGCGCCCGACGUUUCAACCGCGGAGACCCGCCACGCGACAAGGCGCGCGUGGGCACGGACCGGCGCCAGGCCCCAAGCUGCUGCCUGUUUAUUACGACGCGGCUUCCUUCCUUGGCCUGGAGCUGCUAUCUAUCUUUGCCUCCUUCCCCCUUCUCUCCCCGUCCAUUUGCUGCUGCUUCUUCUCGACUUUCUCCUCUCCCGCCCUUCAGUCUCUUUGCUGCUCGAGUUCUCUGCUGCUUUGGUUGAUGUUGUUGCUCGUCUCAUGGACAAGUGCUGUUGUUGAUUUUUCAUGAUAUGCACGAGCGGGGGUUUGAUUUCCAUCGCCGCGGCAUGAGAUGAAGGUAGAGCGCACGUGAGCGAGGGCGUCCUUGCCCGAGGCCAAGAGGAAGGAAGGAAGGAGGACGGCGCGGCGCAUCCACGGUUCGGUCCCGUCCCGGCGAGGCAAUCGGUGCAGCGACCGCACCGUACGUGGUCGAGCUCGCAGAUGGGCGUGCCGCCAUUGCCGGCGCCGGCACCGUGUCAGGCAGCCUGCAAUGCAAACCGGCUUACUAAUGCUACGGAAUAACCUAGACAAUUCUCAGAUAAAUGGAAAAGGAACCCACUUGUCACUGGCUUACGGUAAACUUCAAGAGUAUCCUGAUUCCAGUAUAGCCAGAAGAUAUUUUGGCAUCUGCUGUUUUGACAUCACAUGAAUGUUCAUACUUAACUUAGUCCUACCAAACAAAGCUUGCUCACAAGGUUUUCAUUAUCUUUGGCACGAGGUCAGAUUUCUUUAUGCA